GCUUGCAGUCGAGAUAAUCGGCAUACGGGGGUACCGUUGCUCAGGAUGGAACGACGAAGAGGACUCUUCCUCCGGUGUCGCUCUUCCCGCGAACGCAACGACCGGACGUGGCGAGCCUUCCAUUAAUGCGCCGAUCAAAGGACCAAGCUCCUUUUUGCCGAAGUCAUACCCUCGUGUACGACCUUCCCAGAAUAAUCAACCCGGGACGAUACUUUUUUGCACGGAAAAAAAAAGGAACAAGAGAGAGAA
This is a long non-coding RNA of Wasmannia auropunctata (little fire ant), 249 nucleotides long. RefSeq lists it as uncharacterized. Lineage: Eukaryota; Metazoa; Arthropoda; Insecta; Hymenoptera; Formicidae. The transcript has 2 exons. The record is from RefSeq and is a predicted model, not a curated record.